This 253-nucleotide ribosomal RNA is filed under the name uncultured bacterium. RNAcentral's name for it is "partial 16S ribosomal RNA". It matches the Rfam family "Bacterial small subunit ribosomal RNA", at positions 524 to 776 of the family's 1533-position model. The record is from RNAcentral.
UACAGAGGGUGCGAGCGUUAAUCGGAAUUACUGGGCGUAAGGCGCACGUAGGUGGCUUGGCAAGUCGGGUGUGAAAGCCCCGGGCUCAACCUGGGAAUUGCAUUCGAGACUGCAUUGCUGGAGUACGGAAGAGGAAGGCGGAAUUCCCGGUGUAGCGGUGAAAUGCGUAGAUAUCGGGAGGAACAUCAGUGGCGAAGGCGGCCUUCUGGUCCAGUACUGACACUCAAGUGCGAAAGCGUGGGGAGCAAACAGG